RNAcentral lists this ribosomal RNA (429 nucleotides) under Chloroflexota bacterium. RNAcentral's name for it is "Chloroflexi bacterium partial 16S ribosomal RNA". It matches the Rfam family "Bacterial small subunit ribosomal RNA", at positions 355 to 776 of the family's 1533-position model. The record is from RNAcentral. Lineage: Bacteria; Bacillati; Chloroflexota.
UGGGGAAUAUUGCACAAUGGGCGCAAGCCUGAUGCAGCCAUGCCGCGUGUAUGAAGAAGGCCUUCGGGUUGUAAAGUACUUUCAGUCGGGAGGAAGGUGUCAAGGUUAAUACCUUUGCUCAUUGACGUUACCCGCAGAAGAAGCACCGGCUAACUCCGUGCCAGCAGCCGCGGUAAUACGGAGGGUGCAAGCGUUAAUCGGAAUUACUGGGCGUAAAGCGCACGCAGGCGGUUUGUUAAGUCAGAUGUGAAAUCCCCGGGCUCAACCUGGGAACUGCAUCUGAUACUGGCAAGCUUGAGUCUCGUAGAGGGGGGUAGAAUUCCAGGUGUAGCGGUGAAAUGCGUAGAGAUCUGGAGGAAUACCGGUGGCGAAGGCGGCCCCCUGGACGAAGACUGACGCUCAGGUGCGAAAGCGUGGGGAGCAAACAGG